Molecule: ribosomal RNA, 1012 nt
Filed under: Raiarctus colurus
Lineage: Eukaryota; Metazoa; Tardigrada; Heterotardigrada; Arthrotardigrada; Styraconyxidae
Description: bacterial SSU rRNA
Rfam family: Eukaryotic small subunit ribosomal RNA
Source: RNAcentral
CGGAGAGGGCCUGAGAAACGGCUACCACAUCUAAGGAAGGCAGCAGGCGCGCAAAUUACCCACUCCCGGCAUGGGGAGGUAGUGACGAGAAAUAUCAAUACGGGGCGCCUAUGUGCCUUCCCGUAAUUGAAAUGAGUACACUCUAAACCGGUUAACGAGGACCUAUUGGAGGGCAAGUUGGGUGCCAGCAGCCGCGGUAAUUCCUACUCCAAGAGCAUAUGUUAAUGCUGCUGAGAUUAAAAAGCUCGUAGUUGGAUCUGGGUAGGCAGCGGGUCCCCUACGUCUAAUUGGCGUGUGUGGUGACUGACGCAAUAUGCUCGCAGUGGUUCGGCGAUGCCCCCGUUGGUGUUCCGUUCUUGGUGUCGCUGCCACCACCGGCCAGUGACCGUGCUGUGUGUUCUUCAUUGAGCGCGCGGCUCGUCUGGCACGUUUACUUUGAAAAAAUUAGAGUGCUCAAAGCAGGCGUACAAACUCUAUACACAGUCCGAAUAAUGGUGCAUGGAAUAAUGGAAUAGGACCUCGGUUCUAUUUUGUUGGUACACGGAUCUACGAGGUAAUGAUCAAGAGGGGCAGACGGGGGCAUCCGUAUGGCUGCGUUAGAGGUGAAAUUCUUGGAUCGCAGCCAGACGCACAACUGCGAAGGCAUUUGCCCAGAAUGUUUUCAUUGAUCACAGAACGAAAGUUAGAGGUUCGAAGGCGAUCAGAUACCGCCCUAGUUCUAACCGUAAACGAUGCAAACCAGCGAUCCGCCGUUGCCGUGCUUCAUAGCGAUUAGGUCGGCGGGCAGCUUCCCGGAAACGACAGUCUUCGUGUUCUGGGAUAGUAUGGUUGCAAAGCUGAAAUUUAAAGGAAUUGACGGAAGGGCACCACCAGGCUGUGGACUGUGCGGCUUAAUCGGACUCAACACGGAAAACUUACCCGGGUAGGAUACCGGAAGGAUUGCCAGAUUGAAGCUCUUUCUUGAUUCGGUGGAUGGUGGUGCAUGGCCGUUCUUAGUUGGUGGAGUGAUUUG